Molecule: long non-coding RNA, 2410 nt
Organism: Oncorhynchus keta (chum salmon)
Lineage: Eukaryota; Metazoa; Chordata; Actinopteri; Salmoniformes; Salmonidae
Exons: 3
Source: RefSeq, a predicted model, not a curated record
ACACACACACACACACACACACACACACACACACACACACACACACACACAUGGGGAUGUGUGCUCAUACACACACACGAACACACACACACACAUACUUCCACAAACAAGUACACACACAAACACAUAAACACACACGCACACAAAGGCAAACACUGGGACACAUGGAGGUAAUAGGACAGAGAAUGAACACACCUUAUUGGUUUGAUCAGUUUUGGUGAGUGUAGAUGAAUAUGGUGAGUUUUGAAAAGUUUUAAUACUUGACAGAAACUUUUGAAUCGUUUUUUGACCAUUCUUGUCAUGAUGGUAUAAACCGUUUCAAAUGUUAUACAGUGCAUUCGAAAAGUAUACAGACCCUUUGACUUUUUGCACAUUAUGUUACGUUACAGCCUUCUUCAAAAAUGUAUUACAUUAAAUAUUUUCCUCACCAGUCUACACACAAUACCCAUAAUGACAGAGUGAAAACUGGUGUCAGACAUUUUUGCAAAUCUAUAAAAAAAAAUAAAAAAACAUAAAUAACUUAUAUACAUAAGUACUCAGACUCUUUGUUUUAAGUCUCAAAAUUGAGCUCAGGUGCAUCCUCUUUCCAUUGAUCAUCCUUGAGAUGUUUCGACAACUUGAUUGGAGUCCACCUGUGGUAAAUUCAAUUGAUUGGACAUGAUUUGGAAAGGCACACACCUGUCUAUAUAAGAUCCCACAGUUGACAGUGCAUGUCAGAGCAAAAACCAAGCCAUGAGGUCGAAGGAAUUGUCCGUAGAGCUCCGAGACAGGAUUGUGUAGUGACCAAGAACCUGAUGGUCACUCUGACAGAGCUCCAGACAUCCUCUGUGGAGAUGGGAGAACCUUCCAGAAGGACAAACAUCUCUGCAGCACUCCACCAAUCAGGCCUUUAUGGUAGAGUGGCUAGAUGGAAGCCACUCCUCAGUAAAAGGCACAUGACAGCCCGCUUGGAGUUUGCCAAAUGGCACCUAAAAGACUCUCAGACCAUGAGAAACAAGAUUCUCUGGUCGGAAUGCCAAGAGUCACGUCUGGAGGAAACAUGGCACCAUCUCUAAGGUGAAGCAUGGUGGUGGCAGCAUCAUACUGUGGGGAUGUUUUCAGUGGCAGGGACUGGGAGACUAGUCAGGAUCGAGGGAAAGAUGAACAGAGCAAAGUACAGAGAGAUCCUUAAUGAAAACCUGCUCCAGAGCACUAAAGACCUCUGACUGGGGAGAAGGUUUACCUUCCAACAGGACAAUGACCAGGACAAUUCUCAGAAUGUCCUUGAGUGGGCCAGCCAGAGCUCGGAAUUGAACCCGAUCUAACUUCUGUGGAGAGACCUGAAAAUAGCUGUGUAGCAACACUCCCCAUCCAAACUGACAGAUCUUGAGGGGAUCUGCAGAGAAGAAUGGGAGAAAAGAGGGACAGAGAGAAGUAAAGCGGGACAGAGACAGAGAGAAGUAAAGAGGGACAGAGACAGAGAGAAGUAAAGAGACAGAGAGAAGUAAAGAGGGAGAGAGACAGAGAGAAGUAAAGAGGGACAGAGAGAAGUAAAGAGGGACAGAGACAGAGAGAAGUAAAGAGGGAGAGAGACAGAGAGAAGUAGAGGGACAGAGACAGAGAGAAGUAGAGGGAGAGAUAGAAGUAAAGAGGGACAGAGAGAAGUAAAGAGGGACAGAGAGAAGUAAAGAGGGACAGAGACAGAGAAAAGUAAAGAGGGAGAGAGACAGAGAGAAGUAAAGAGGGUCAGAGACAGAGAGAAGUAAAGAGGGACAGAGACAGAGAAGUAAAGAGGGACAGAGAGAAGUAAAGAGGGACAGAGACAGAGAAGUAAAGAGGGACAGAGAGAAGUAAAGAGGGAGAGGGAGACAGAGAGAAGUAAAGAGGGGCAGAGACAGAGAAGUAAAGAGGGACAGAGAGAAGUAAAGAGGGACAGAGAGAAGUAAAGAGGGACAGAGACAGAGAGAAGUAAAGAGGGAGAGGGAGACAGAGAGAAGUAAAGAGGGACAGAGAGACGUAAAGAGGGAGAGAGAAACAGCGAGAAGUAAAGAAGGAGAGAGAGACAGAGAGAAGUAAAGAAGGAGAGAGACAGAGGCAGAGAGAAGGGGAUAGGUUGUGUAGCGGAAGAAAAGUUUGGAGAGGGAGAAAGACAGAGGGAGAAAGAGACAGAGAGAGCGAUGAAUGAGUGUGGUUGCCGGUAUCAAGAGAGGGCAGACAGCGGGUGUGGCGGCAGUGUGUGAGUGUGUGUGUGUGUGUGUGCCCAUGUCUGUGUGCAUGAGUCAAAGGAAAGGGAAGCAGGCUGCUGGGCCGUCUCCGAGCCGGAGUGGGCCGUUAAUUAAAUCUGAGGGACAGACAGGAGGGUUGACUCCCCCCUCCUCCUUCCUCUCCUCCCGUCCUCCCUCCACCGUCCGCCUCCCAGGCCUCUGGCUAC